This 348-nucleotide unclassified non-coding RNA is filed under the name soil metagenome. RNAcentral's name for it is "partial contains 5.8S ribosomal RNA, internal transcribed spacer 2, and large subunit ribosomal RNA". The stretch from base 1 to 120 matches the Rfam family "5.8S ribosomal RNA", at positions 35 to 154 of the family's 154-position model. The record is from RNAcentral.
GAUGAAGAACGUAGCGAAAUGCGAUAAGUAAUGUGAAUUGCAGAAUUCCGUGAAUCAUCGAAUCUUUGAACGCAUAUUGCGCCCUCUGGUAUUCCGGAGGGCAUGCCUGUCCGAGCGUCAUUUCAACCCUCAUGCCCCUAGGGCGUGGUGUUGGGGAUCGGCCAAAGCCCGCGAGGGACGGCCGGCCCCUAAAUCUAGUGGCGGACCCGUCGUGGCCUCCUCUGCGAAGUAGUGAUAUUCCGCAUCGGAGAGCGACGAGCCCCUGCCGUUAAACCCCCAACUUUCCAAGGUUGACCUCAGAUCAGGUAGGAAUACCCGCUGAACUUAAGCAUAUCAAUAAGCGGAGGA